Molecule: ribosomal RNA, 867 nt
Filed under: uncultured archaeon
Lineage: Archaea
Description: bacterial SSU rRNA
Rfam family: Archaeal small subunit ribosomal RNA
Source: RNAcentral
CUCCGGUUGAUCCUGCCGGACCCGACUGCUAUCAGAGUGGGACUAAGCCAUGCGAGUCAACAUAGCAAUAUGUGGCAUACGGCUCAGUAACACGUAGUCAACAUGCCCAGGGGACGUGGAUAACCUCGGGAAACUGAGGAUAAACCGCGAUAGGUCAUCACUUCUGGAAUGGGUAAUGACUUAAAUCUAUAUGGCCCCUGGAUUGGACUGCGGCCGAUCAGGCUGUUGGUGAGGUAAUGGCCCACCAAACCUGUAACCGGUACGGGCUCUGAGAGGAGGAGCCCGGAGAUGGGCACUGAGACAAGGGCCCAGGCCCUAUGGGGCGCAGCAGGCGCGAAACCUCUGCAAUAGGCGAAAGCUUGACAGGGUUACUCUGAGUGAUUUCCGUUAAGGAGAUCUUUUGGCACCUCUAAAAAUGGUGCAGAAUAAGGGGUGGGCAAGUCUGGUGUCAGCCGCCGCGGUAAUACCAGCACCCCGAGUGGUCGGGACGUUUAUUGGGCCUAAAGCAUCCGUAGCCGGUUCUACAAGUCUUCCGUUAAAUCCACCUGCUUAACAGAUGGGCUGCGGAAGAUACUAUAGAGCUAGGAGGCGGGAGAGGCAAGCGGUACUCGAUGGGUAGGGGUAAAAUCCGUUGAUCCAUUGAAGACCACCAGUGGCGAAGGCGGCUUGCCAGAACGCGCUCGACGGUGAGGGAUGAAAGCUGGGGGAGCAAACCGGAUUAGAUACCCGGGUAGUCCCAGCUGUAAACGAUGCAGACUCGGUGAUGAGUUGGCUUAUUGCUAACUCAGUGCCGCAGGGAAGCCGUUAAGUUUGCCGCCUGGGGAGUACGGUCGCAAGACUGAAACUUAAAGGAUUGGCGGGGGAGCA